Non-coding RNA from Mycena leptocephala, 91 nucleotides. The record is from the annotation of a GenBank genome assembly. NCBI's taxonomy places the organism in Eukaryota, Fungi, Basidiomycota, Agaricomycetes, Agaricales, Mycenaceae.
GGCUCGGUAGCGGAGGGUCCGCAUCUGCUUUCCAUUUCAAAUUGUCGAGAGAAUAAUGCAGAUAAAGCCUGUUCGACUCAGGCCCGACCCA